UAUAGGAUACAGUGACGCAGUAUUCUAGUCGGAUCUUCUGUCUCCUAAGAAGGGCCUAAAAAUCCUUUAAAGGGCAUAACUGUGAAACUUCUUGUGUUUGCUUUCGGCGCCCAGCCGGGGGUGGAUGCUGGAAGGAAGUGAUUACCACUUGCGCUCUCAGGGCGCCUCCAACGGCAUGGAGUCAACGACCCUGUUUGCGUGGAGACCUGUUUUCGUGCCGGGAGCAACCCGUUUUGCCGGAUAGGCUACCCCGGUACGUGACAGAUUGUGAACCUGCAAUGCGGUGCUCAAUGACGCUGUGUGCAGAGUAGCCUGCCUUGCGUGGCGGGUGCGGAUAGCCAUGAAGAUAUGCCAGGUCGCGGCCGGACGGAAGCGUAUCGGUGUUUUCACCGUAAUGGCUUGAAAUACUCGCUGCAAAAGAGGCUAAGAGACAGUUUGACCGUCGUGGAAAACACCUAGGCUGUCGGGCGCGGCUGGCGCCCGGACCGGCGAUGGAUUGCAGUGCGGACUCAGUGGCAGUCGGGCCCCGGAGACGGUAACGCUUCGGACACGUCUUCAAAGGGAAACCGCCUCAUCGGCGACGAGAGGCAGACGCGUGGGAAAGCUCGCCCGUACCUAAGCCGUAAGAUUUACAUCGCCGGUUGU
This 645-nucleotide small RNA is filed under the name bovine gut metagenome. The record is from RNAcentral.